This 67-nucleotide transfer RNA is filed under the name Neotoma lepida (desert woodrat). It matches the Rfam family "tRNA". From Rfam's summary of the family: Transfer RNA (tRNA) molecules are approximately 80 nucleotides in length. Their secondary structure includes four short double-helical elements and three loops (D, anti-codon, and T loops). The record is from Rfam by way of RNAcentral. Lineage: Eukaryota; Metazoa; Chordata; Mammalia; Rodentia; Cricetidae.
GCAUGUAGCUCAGUUGGCAGAGUACUUGCCUUGCAUGCAUAAGUCCUGAGUUUGAUACUCAGCUGCA